CUCCUUCCCAUUCCGAACAGGAAAGUUAAGGUCUAUAGCGCCGAUGGUACUGCAUGGGAGACUGUGUGGCAGAGUAGGACGUUGCGAGGU
Molecule: ribosomal RNA, 90 nt
Filed under: Clostridium beijerinckii
Lineage: Bacteria; Bacillati; Bacillota; Clostridia; Eubacteriales; Clostridiaceae
Source: RNAcentral